RNAcentral lists this ribosomal RNA (253 nucleotides) under uncultured bacterium. Its description in RNAcentral is "partial 16S ribosomal RNA". It matches the Rfam family "Bacterial small subunit ribosomal RNA", at positions 524 to 776 of the family's 1533-position model. The record is from RNAcentral.
UACGUAGGGUGCGAGCGUUGUCCGGAAUUAUUGGGCGUAAAGAGCUCGUAGGCGGUUUGUCACGUCUGCUGUGAAAACUCGGGGCUCAACCCCGAGCCUGCUUCCGAUACGGGCAGACUAGAGGUAUGCAGGGGAGAAUGGAAUUCCUGGUGUAGCGGUGAAAUGCGCAGAUAUCAGGAGGAACACCGGUGGCGAAGGCGGUUCUCUGGGCAUUACCUGACGCUGAGGAGCGAAAGUGUGGGGAGCGAACAGG